UAUUAUUCCCUUUCUGAGUCACACCAAGGGUUACUGCAUAUAGCUGCACAGUCUGUACUACAUUCCCAGUGAUCUGGUCACAGCCCUAAUUUUCCUUUGGGAUCCACUGCUCACUCUCUCACAGUCAACACAAUCUGAUAGGAUACUACCACUGGCCCUUUAUAACACAUGACUAGGCCUAAUGCAUCCCAUUCCUCUGGCCUCUGGGUUCGUGGUGGUCACAUGAACUAAACCUAAACUAAUCCACUCAGUUGAAUCACAGAACUCUUAAUGUGAUUGUACAGCCUUAUGACAUAAUAUUCCAAAUAAAGACUGAUUUUUUUUUUUACA
Molecule: long non-coding RNA, 330 nt
Filed under: Homo sapiens (human)
Lineage: Eukaryota; Metazoa; Chordata; Mammalia; Primates; Hominidae
Description: HSALNT0238457
Source: RNAcentral